Molecule: ribosomal RNA, 795 nt
Filed under: uncultured archaeon
Lineage: Archaea
Description: bacterial SSU rRNA
Rfam family: Archaeal small subunit ribosomal RNA
Source: RNAcentral
ACGGCUCAGUAACACGUAGUUAACCUAACCUAUGGAUGGGGAUAACCUCGGGAAACUGAGAAUAAUCCCCGAUAGAUCACAAUGCCUGGAAUGGUUUGUGAUUCAAAUGAUUUAUCGCCGUAGGAUGGGACUGCGGCCUAUCAGCUAGUUGGUGAGGUAAUGGCCCACCAAGGCUAUAACAGGUACGGGCUCUGAGAGGAGGGGCCCGGAGAUGGGUACUGAGACACGGACCCAGGCCCUAUGGGGCGCAGCAGGCGAGAAACCUUUGCAAUGUGCGAAAGCACGACAAGGUUAAUCCGAGUGUCUUCUGCUAAAGAAGUCUUUUGUUAGUCAUAGAACCACUGAUGAAUAAGGGGUGGGCAAGUUCUGGUGUCAGCCGCCGCGGUAAAACCAGCACCUCGAGUGGUCAGGAGGUUUAUUGGGCCUAAAGCAUCCGUAGCCGGUUGUUUAAGUUUUCGGUUAAAUCUAUGCGCUUAACGUAUAGGCUGCCGAAAAUACUGGACAGCUAGGGAGUGGGAGAGGUACACGGUACUCAAUAGGAAGGGGUAAAAUCCUUUGAUCUGUUGAUGACCACCUGUGGCGAAGGCGGUGUACCAGAACACGUUCGACGGUGAGGGAUGAAAGCUGGGGGAGCAAACCGGAUUAGAUACCCGGGUAGUCCCAGCUGUAAACGAUGCAAACUCGGUGAUGCAUUGGCUUGUGGCCCAAUGCAGUGCCGCAGGGAAGCCGUUAAGUUUGCCGCCUGGGAAGUACGUACGCAAGUAUGAAACUUAAAGGAAUUGGCGGGGGGAGCAC